This 440-nucleotide ribosomal RNA is filed under the name uncultured bacterium. RNAcentral describes it as "partial 16S ribosomal RNA". It matches the Rfam family "Bacterial small subunit ribosomal RNA", at positions 338 to 795 of the family's 1533-position model. The record is from RNAcentral.
CCUACGGGAGGCAGCAGUAGGGAAUAUUGCUCAAUGGGGGAAACCCUGAAGCAGCAACGCCGCGUGAAGGAUGAAGGUUUUCGGAUUGUAAACUCCUUUUGUUAGAGAAGAUAAUGACGGUAUCUAACGAAUAAGCACCGGCUAACUCCGUGCCAGCAGCCGCGGUAAUACGGAGGGUGCAAGCGUUACUCGGAAUCACUGGGCGUAAAGAGCGCGUAGGCGGGAUAGCAAGUCAGAUGUGAAAUCCUAGGGCUUAACCAUAGAACUGCAUUUGAAACUGUUAUUCUAGAGUAUGGGAGAGGUAGGUGGAAUUCUUGGUGUAGGGGUAAAAUCCGUAGAGAUCAAGAGGAAUACUCAUUGCGAAGGCGACCUGCUAGAACAUAACUGACGCUGAUGCGCGAAAGCGUGGGGAGCAAACAGGAUUAGAUACCCUUGUAGUC